This 182-nucleotide ribosomal RNA is filed under the name Photobacterium leiognathi subsp. mandapamensis. RNAcentral's name for it is "partial 16S ribosomal RNA". It matches the Rfam family "Bacterial small subunit ribosomal RNA", at positions 1 to 162 of the family's 1533-position model. The record is from RNAcentral. Lineage: Bacteria; Pseudomonadati; Pseudomonadota; Gammaproteobacteria; Vibrionales; Vibrionaceae.
ACUUUAAUUGAAGAGUUUGAUCAUGGCUCAGAUUGAACGCUGGCGGCAGGCCUAACACAUGCAAGUCGAGCGGCAGCGACUUAACUGAACCUUCGGGAGACGUUAAGGGCGGCGAGCGGCGGACGGGUGAGUAAUGCCUGGGAAUAUGCCCUGAUGUGGGGGAUAACUAUUGGAAACGAUAG